RNAcentral lists this ribosomal RNA (189 nucleotides) under uncultured bacterium. Its description in RNAcentral is "partial 16S ribosomal RNA". It matches the Rfam family "Bacterial small subunit ribosomal RNA", at positions 338 to 524 of the family's 1533-position model. The record is from RNAcentral.
CCUACGGGAGGCAGCAGUAAGGAAUAUUGGUCAAUGGGCGGAAGCCUGAACCAGCCAUGCCGCGUGCAGGAUGACUGCCCUAUGGGUUGUAAACUGCUUUUGUCCAGGAAUAAACCUAGAUACGUGUAUCUAGCUGAAUGUACUGGAAGAAUAAGGAUCGGCUAACUCCGUGCCAGCAGCCGCGGUAAU